GAUAGAGCGAGGCAGCCCGGGGACCCCCGAGAACCCAGCCGCCGGAGGCGCAGGCUCUAAAUUACGGGGGGGCUCAACCCCCAGGCCUCCAGAAAUGACGUCAGAAUCCUUUGCAUCUGCUACCUCUACCUGCCCGUGCAGACAGGACGACCCUGCCUCGGUGGCCCCAGGGCCAGAGGGUUGGGGGCGAUGCCUGGUGACCUCAAGGACCAAGAUGGGAUCGCCAGGAAUGGAGAGCUCUGCGAGAACUCAGGAGCCCAGGCCCGAAGGGCCCCCCACCGGAGACCCAAGGGGAGACCUGGGGAGGGGGCUGGCC
Molecule: long non-coding RNA, 316 nt
Organism: Suncus etruscus (white-toothed pygmy shrew)
Lineage: Eukaryota; Metazoa; Chordata; Mammalia; Eulipotyphla; Soricidae
Exons: 3
Source: RefSeq, a predicted model, not a curated record